CGGCGCAAAGGAUUUCGAGACUAACAAGGACACGAGCCUGCUGCCGCCCGGCACGUUUUACCUCACCCAUGUCGACUCCAUGUACCGGAGGUUCUAUGACCAGAAGCCUGUAGAGGAAACAGCCGGUGGCAAAGCCAAGUGCUGCAACGGCUUCGCAAAUGGCCACUAGUGACGUGCUGUGGACUCCCUAUGUCGCCUGCCUUGUUGCUCAUCGACUCAUCGUGCUUUGU
Molecule: long non-coding RNA, 230 nt
Filed under: Setaria viridis
Lineage: Eukaryota; Viridiplantae; Streptophyta; Magnoliopsida; Poales; Poaceae
Description: long non-coding RNA (SVIR_LNC002302)
Source: RNAcentral